This is a long non-coding RNA of Orbicella faveolata, 404 nucleotides long. The record is from RefSeq and is a predicted model, not a curated record. NCBI's taxonomy places the organism in Eukaryota, Metazoa, Cnidaria, Anthozoa, Scleractinia, Merulinidae.
AACCCCCCAAACUCUGUAGUUAUUCCCCAGAGUCUUGCACUGAGGUCUUUUGUGAUAGGCAGAAUUUUAAUAUAUCAAAAUUGCUCUACUGUGAAACUUUAAAUUGUACAACCUUUCUUCCAGACUGAGAAAAGUUUGGCAAAAGAGAUACUGUGUAGCUAAGGAUGGUCACUUUACGUUAGCUCACUCACCGACCAGUAGACCAACCCAAACACUUAACCUUCUUGUUUGCCAAGUAAAAGAGGAAGACGGAAAGAAACAUACUUUCAACAUUGUGUCACACAACAGAACAUAUUUAUUUCAAGCUGAUGAUGAAGCUGACCUGGAAGCAUGGGUAUCUGUUCUUAAUAACAGCCGGACUGAAGCCUUAGAGAAGGCUUUUGGUGACAGUGAUAAAACGAAGU